AAGACGGCCCUAUGGGUUGUAAACUGCUUUUGUAUAGGGAUAAAUCAUCUUACGAGAUAGGAUGUUGAAGGUACUAUACGAAUAAGCAUCGGCUAACUCCGUGCCAGCAGCCGCGGUAAUACGGAGGAUGCGAGCGUUAUCCGGAUUCAUUGGGUUUAAAGGGUCCGUAGGCGGGCUAAUAAGUCAGUGGUGGAAUCUCACAGCUCAACUGUGAAAUUGCCAUUGAUACUGUUAGUCUUGAGUGAAUUUGAUGUUGCUGGAAUGUGUAGUGUAGCGGUGAAAUGCAUAGAUAUUACACGGAACACCGAAUGCGAAGGCAGGUAACAAAGACUUAACUGACGCUGAUGGACGAAGGCGUGGGGAGCGAACAGGAUUGGAUACCCUGGUAGUCCACGCAGUAAACGAUGCUAACUCGUUUUCGGGGUGAAGAACUUCGGAGACCAAGCGAAAGUGAUAAGUUAGCCACCUGGGGAGUACGUUCGCAAGAAUGAAACCCAAAGGAAUUGACGGGGGCCCGCACAAGCGGUGGAGCAUGUGGUUUAAUUCGAUGAUACGCGAGGAACCUUACCAAGGCUUAAAUGCAUUUUGACGUACCCUGAAAGGGGUAUUUCUUCGGACAGGAUGCAAGGUGAUGCAUGGAUGUCGUCAGCUCGUG
This 655-nucleotide ribosomal RNA is filed under the name uncultured bacterium. RNAcentral's name for it is "bacterial SSU rRNA". It matches the Rfam family "Bacterial small subunit ribosomal RNA", at positions 408 to 1064 of the family's 1533-position model. The record is from RNAcentral.